This 155-nucleotide unclassified non-coding RNA is filed under the name uncultured Pseudosigmoidea. RNAcentral's name for it is "sequence contains ITS2". Lineage: Eukaryota; Fungi; Ascomycota. The record is from RNAcentral.
CACCCCCCAAGCCUUGCUUGAUGUUGGGCCAUGACGCGCUGUCAAGCCCCAAACCUUUAGGCGCCCCCUACUGGCCGCGAGCGUAGCAAGAAUUUUUUCCCUCGUUCCGCGUGUCCAUUGGGUGGGUCGCCGAUUGACCCCCUAAAUUUUAUAAG